RNAcentral lists this ribosomal RNA (497 nucleotides) under uncultured bacterium. RNAcentral describes it as "partial 16S ribosomal RNA". It matches the Rfam family "Bacterial small subunit ribosomal RNA", at positions 28 to 507 of the family's 1533-position model. The record is from RNAcentral.
GACGAACGCUGGCGGCGUGCCUAAUACAUGCAAGUAGAACGCUGAAGCGAGGAGCUUGCUCUUCUUGGAUGAGUUGCGCACGGGUGAGUAACGCGUAGGUAACCUGCCUUGUAGCGGGGGAUAACUAUUGGAAACGAUAGCUAAUACCGCAUAACAAUAGGUGACACAUGUCAUUUAUUUGAAAGGGGCAAUUGCUCCACUACAAGAUGGACCUGCGUUGUAUUAGCUAGUAGGUGAGGUAACGGCUCACCUAGGCGACGAUACAUAGCCGACCUGAGAGGGUGAUCGGCCACACUGGGACUGAGACACGGCCCAGACUCCUACGGGAGGCAGCAGUAGGGAAUCUUCGGCAAUGGGGGCAACCCUGACCGAGCAACGCCGCGUGAGUGAAGAAGGUUUUCGGAUCGUAAAGCUCUGUUGUAAGUCAAGAACGAGUGUGAGAGUGGAAAGUUCACACUGUGACGGUAGCUUACCAGAAAGGGACGGCUAACUACGUG